Molecule: transfer RNA, 73 nt
Filed under: Anneissia japonica
Lineage: Eukaryota; Metazoa; Echinodermata; Crinoidea; Comatulida; Comatulidae
Description: tRNA-Met
Rfam family: tRNA
About the family: Transfer RNA (tRNA) molecules are approximately 80 nucleotides in length. Their secondary structure includes four short double-helical elements and three loops (D, anti-codon, and T loops). Further hydrogen bonds mediate the characteristic L-shaped molecular structure. tRNAs have two regions of fundamental functional importance: the anti-codon, which is responsible for specific mRNA codon recognition, and the 3' end, to which the tRNAs corresponding amino acid is attached (by aminoacyl-tRNA synthetases). tRNAs cope with the degeneracy of the genetic code in two manners: having more than one tRNA (with a specific anti-codon) for a particular amino acid; and 'wobble' base-pairing, i.e. permitting non-standard base-pairing at the 3rd anti-codon position.
Source: RNAcentral
GCCUUCUUGGCGCAGUCGGCAGCGCGUCAAUCUCAUAAUUUGAAUGUCGUGAGUUCGAACCUCACAGGGGGUA